RNAcentral lists this ribosomal RNA (468 nucleotides) under uncultured bacterium. RNAcentral's name for it is "partial 16S ribosomal RNA". It matches the Rfam family "Bacterial small subunit ribosomal RNA", at positions 28 to 507 of the family's 1533-position model. The record is from RNAcentral.
GACGAACGCUGGCGGCGUGCUUAACACAUGCAAGUCGAACGGAAAGGCCCUGCUUUUGUGGGGUGCUCGAGUGGCGAACGGGUGAGUAACACGUGAGUAACCUGCCCUUGACUUUGGUAUAACUUCAGGAAACUGGGGCUAAUACCGGAUAGGAGCUCCUGCUGCAUGGUGGGGGUUGGAAAGUUUCGGCGGUUGGGGAUGGACUCGCGGCUUAUCAGCUUGUUGGUGGGGUAGUGGCUUACCAAGGCUUUGACGGGUAGCCGGCCUGAGAGGGUGACGGGCCACAUUGGGACUGAGAUACGGCCCAGACUCCUACGGGAGGCAGCAGUGGGGAAUAUUGCACAAUGGGCGGAAGCCUGAUGCAGCAACGCCGCGUGCGGGAUGACGGCCUUCGGGUUUUAAACCGCUUUCGCCUGUGACGAAGCGUGAGUGACGGUAAUGGGUAAAGAAGCACCGGCUAACUACGUG